This 167-nucleotide ribosomal RNA is filed under the name Ribeiroclinus eigenmanni. RNAcentral describes it as "partial small subunit ribosomal RNA". The record is from RNAcentral. Lineage: Eukaryota; Metazoa; Chordata; Actinopteri; Blenniiformes; Clinidae.
ACCGCGGUUAUACGAGAGGCUCAAGUUGACUAACAUUCGGCGUAAAGCGUGGUUAAAGGCCUUAAACACUAAAGCUAAAUGCUCUCCUAACUGUUAUACGCUAUCGAGAACAAGAAGCCCCCCUACGAAAGUGACUUUAUUUAUCUUGAACCCACGAGAACUGUGGC